GAUGAACGCUGGCGGCGUGCCUCAAACAUGCAAGUCGAGCGGGGCUAUGUAAUACCGCAAGGUAGAACAUAGCCUAGCGGCGAACGGGUGAGUAACACGUGGGUAACCUGCCUGGAAGACAGGGAUAACGAUUCGAAAGGGUCGCUAAUACCUGAUAAUAUCCUUUCAUCGCAUGGUGAUAGGAAGAAAGGGGAAACCCGCUUUCAGAUGGGCCCGCGUCCCAUCAGCUAGUUGGUAAGGUAAAGGCUUACCAAGGCGACGACGGGUAGCCGGUCUGAGAGGAUGUACGGCCACACUGGGACUGAGAUACGGCCCAGACUCCUACGGGAGGCAGCAGUUGGGAAUCUUAGGCAAUGGACGAAAGUCUGACCUAGCGACGCCGCGUGAGGGAAGAAGGCCUUCGGGUUGUAAACCUCUGUCAUGGGGGAAGAAGUAAGUGACGGUACCCCAAGAGGAAGCCCCUGCUAACUACGUG
RNAcentral lists this ribosomal RNA (475 nucleotides) under uncultured bacterium. Its description in RNAcentral is "bacterial SSU rRNA". It matches the Rfam family "Bacterial small subunit ribosomal RNA", at positions 28 to 507 of the family's 1533-position model. The record is from RNAcentral.